This 429-nucleotide ribosomal RNA is filed under the name Bacteroidota bacterium. Its description in RNAcentral is "Bacteroidetes bacterium partial 16S ribosomal RNA". It matches the Rfam family "Bacterial small subunit ribosomal RNA", at positions 355 to 776 of the family's 1533-position model. The record is from RNAcentral. Lineage: Bacteria; Pseudomonadati; Bacteroidota.
UAGGGAAUCUUCCGCAAUGGACGCAAGUCUGACGGAGCAACGCCGCGUGAGUGAAGAAGGAUUUCGGUUCGUAAAACUCUGUUGUUAGAGAAGAACAGCGCAUAGAGUAACUGUUAUGCGUGUGACGGUAUCUAACCAGAAAGCCACGGCUAACUACGUGCCAGCAGCCGCGGUAAUACGUAGGUGGCAAGCGUUGUCCGGAUUUAUUGGGCGUAAAGCGAGCGCAGGCGGUCAAUUAAGUCUGAUGUGAAAGCCCCCGGCUCAACCGGGGAGGGUCAUUGGAAACUGGUUGACUUGAGUGCAGAAGAGGAGAGUGGAAUUCCAUGUGUAGCAGUGAAAUGCGUAGAUAUAUGGAGGAACACCAGUGGCGAAGGCGACUCUCUGGUCUGUAACUGACGCUGAGGUUCGAAAGCGUGGGUAGCAAACAGG